AUUCAUUUCCCUUCCUGAUUUUCAAUCAACUCUCUCUUUCUCUCCCCCCCCCCCCCCCCUCCCCUCUUCGACUCUACCUUUUCUUCUCUCUACCUUAUCGAGCACCGUCGUUGACAGCGAUCUGCACGCCUAUCAUCCUCACCGCAAAUCAAGUGAUGCAUUGUUGUGGCAACAACUUCAUCUUAUAGUGAUUUGUGAUUCAAUGUUGCUGCAACUCACUGCAUGGUGUUGAUGGUGCAAUGGUGUUGAUGGCACUGGUGGGGUGUGUUGCGUUGUGGGGCUGUGUUGGGGAUGGUUUUGGUGCGUUUGUAGAGGGUUGGGUUGUUGGUCUGUGUUGGACUCAAUGCAUUUGUGUUAGGCUAUGUCUGUGGGUGGUGGCGAUGCUAUAGUGGCAGAGGCACGUGGGGCAAUGAAUGGUGGUGGCAGUGGUUUACAUGUUUUGGUGGUGGUUUUUGUUGGUGGCAAUGGUGGUUGAUCUAGUGGUGGUGUUGGAUCCACAGUGGAUCUAAUGGUGACAUUGUUGGAUCUAGUUGUGGUGGUAAUUUUGUUGAUAUAGGCAAUGGUGGCAAUGGUUUUUGUUGAUACAAGCGACGAUGGCAAUGGUUUUUGUUGACACAUAGUGGUGGUGUCACGCAGUAGAUAUGGAAAUUUUUUUGUGUAGGAGUUGUGGUUGUGGGGUGUGGUGGUGGAAGAGGAAAUAAGGUGCUAGAAUGGGGUGUGGUCGAGGUAGGGUUGGGAAUGUGUGAGUGUUUGUGACCAAUUAUUUGGUUGAUUUUAACGAAUAAGUUGGUUAAUAUGUGAUUAAUAAAUAAUUUGUGAUCAAUUAUUUGAUAGAUCGUGGCUAAUAAAUUGGUUAACUUGUAAUCAAUAAAUAAUGUGUGGCCUACAAAAUGUGAUUGUGAUUCGCAAUUUAUUG
RNAcentral lists this long non-coding RNA (916 nucleotides) under Olea europaea subsp. europaea. The record is from RNAcentral. Lineage: Eukaryota; Viridiplantae; Streptophyta; Magnoliopsida; Lamiales; Oleaceae.